GGGGAUAUAGCUCAGUUGGUACAGUGCUUGCCUCGCAUACAGGAGGCUCUGGGUUCACCCCCCAAUACCACCA
Molecule: transfer RNA, 73 nt
Filed under: Marmota monax (woodchuck)
Lineage: Eukaryota; Metazoa; Chordata; Mammalia; Rodentia; Sciuridae
Also listed under: 1 other name
Rfam family: tRNA
About the family: Transfer RNA (tRNA) molecules are approximately 80 nucleotides in length. Their secondary structure includes four short double-helical elements and three loops (D, anti-codon, and T loops). Further hydrogen bonds mediate the characteristic L-shaped molecular structure. tRNAs have two regions of fundamental functional importance: the anti-codon, which is responsible for specific mRNA codon recognition, and the 3' end, to which the tRNAs corresponding amino acid is attached (by aminoacyl-tRNA synthetases). tRNAs cope with the degeneracy of the genetic code in two manners: having more than one tRNA (with a specific anti-codon) for a particular amino acid; and 'wobble' base-pairing, i.e. permitting non-standard base-pairing at the 3rd anti-codon position.
Source: Rfam by way of RNAcentral